RNAcentral lists this ribosomal RNA (532 nucleotides) under Panthera pardus (leopard). RNAcentral's name for it is "partial 16S ribosomal RNA". It matches the Rfam family "Bacterial large subunit ribosomal RNA", at positions 1854 to 2608 of the family's 2925-position model. Lineage: Eukaryota; Metazoa; Chordata; Mammalia; Carnivora; Felidae. The record is from RNAcentral.
ACUGCCUGCCCAGUGACAUCAGUUAAACGGCCGCGGUAUCCUGACCGUGCAAAGGAAGCAUAAUCAUUCGUUCCCUAAAUAGGGACUUGUAUGAAUGGCCACACGAGGGCUUUACUGUCUCUUACUUCCGAUCCGUGAAAUUGACCUUCCCGUGAAGAGGCGGGAAUAUGACAAUAAGACGAGAAGACCCUAUGGAGCUUUAAUUAACCGACCCAAAGAGAUCUUAACAACUAACCGAUAGGGACAACAAACCUCUACCAUGGGUCGACAAUUUAGGUUGGGGUGACCUCGGAGAAUAAAACAACCUCCGAGUGAUUUAAAUCUAGACUAACCAGUCGAAAGUACUACAUCACUUAUUGAUCCAAAAACUUGAUCAACGGAACAAGUUACCCUAGGGAUAACAGCGCAAUCCUAUUUUAGAGUCCAUAUCGACAAUAGGGUUUACGACCUCGAUGUUGGAUCAGGACAUCCCGAUGGUGCAGCAGCUAUCAAAGGUUCGUUUGUUCAACGAUUAAAGUCCUACGUGAUCUGA